Molecule: ribosomal RNA, 437 nt
Filed under: Capnocytophaga granulosa
Lineage: Bacteria; Pseudomonadati; Bacteroidota; Flavobacteriia; Flavobacteriales; Flavobacteriaceae
Description: bacterial SSU rRNA
Rfam family: Bacterial small subunit ribosomal RNA
Source: RNAcentral
GAUGAACGCUAGCGGCAGGCCUAACACAUGCAAGUCGAGGGAGAAGCCCUUCGGGGCAGAAACGGCGCACGGGUGCGUAACGCGUAUGCAACCUACCUUUCACAGGGGGAUAGCCCGAAGAAAUUUGGAUUAAUACCCCAUAAUAUUAUUGGAUGGCAUCAUUUGAUAAUUAAAAUUACGAUGGUGAAAGAUGGGCAUGCGUCCUAUUAGCUAGUUGGAGUGGUAACGGCACCCCAAGGCUACGAUAGGUAGGGGUCCUGAGAGGGAGAUCCCCCACACUGGUACUGAGACAGGGACCAGACUCCUACGGGAGGCAGCAGUGAGGAAUAUUGGUCAAUGGUCGGAAGACUGAACCAGCCAUGCCGCGUGCAGGAAGAAUGCCUUAUGGGUUGUAAACUGCUUUUAUAUGGGAAGAAUAAGGAGAACGUGUACUUUGA